AUGGUUUAUUUUCUACAAUUCAAGAUUGUAUUGGUGCAUCCGUCGCAUGGCCCUAUCCAUUCAUCUCGGUAGUCCAUGAGGAUUGGGGAUGCAUGAUGACUCAAGAUUUUAUGCUUCUUGUUUCUUUAAUUGCUUUUAAUUUCUUUGUUAAAUCUUAGGACUUUAUGUUAGAUAAUGUUGUAACUUAUUUAUGGUUAGUGUUUUUGUUAUGA
RNAcentral lists this long non-coding RNA (212 nucleotides) under Helianthus annuus (common sunflower). RNAcentral's name for it is "hypothetical non coding rna". The record is from RNAcentral. Lineage: Eukaryota; Viridiplantae; Streptophyta; Magnoliopsida; Asterales; Asteraceae.